UACGUAGGGUGCAAGCGUUGUCCGGAAUUAUUGGGCGUAAAGAGCUCGUAGGCGGUUUGUCGCGUCUGCCGUGAAAGUCCGGGGCUCAACUCCGGAUCUGCGGUGGGUACGGGCAGACUAGAGUGAUGUAGGGGAGACUGGAAUUCCUGGUGUAGCGGUGGAAUGCGCAGAUAUCAGGAGGAACACCGAUGGCGAAGGCAGAUCUCUGGGCCGUAACUGACGCUGAGGAGCGAAAGCAUGGGGAGCGAACAGG
RNAcentral lists this ribosomal RNA (253 nucleotides) under uncultured bacterium. RNAcentral's name for it is "partial 16S ribosomal RNA". It matches the Rfam family "Bacterial small subunit ribosomal RNA", at positions 524 to 776 of the family's 1533-position model. The record is from RNAcentral.